GGAGAACAUGUACACAACAUCGUUAUAUCUAGAAAUCUAUUUAUUGAUGCGUGCGGCAAACAUGAAAAGGGUUACAGCGAGAAGGACGUGGGACGUGAAAGGGGCACGUGCUUCUGUUAUCUAGAGUCGACCUUUGACGUGAGCGAUGCAAAACAAAAUCGCAAAGCACAUGCUGUCGGGACUGCCUGGUUUAGAACUGAUAGCGAGGAAAACAGUCGCUGAGGAGGAGGAGGAUUCACGGGGAGAGGAGCGUUAAUGAGGAGAGAGAGAGGAAGAGAGAGGAGUGUUAAUGAGGAGAGAGAGAGGAGUGUUAAUGAGGAGAGAAGAGGAGUUGUUAAUGAGGAGAGAGAGAGAAGAGAGAGAGAGGAGUGUUAAUGAGGAGAGAGAGAGAGGAUUGUUAAUGAGGAGAGAGAGAGGAGUGUUAAUGAGGAGAGAUAGAGAGGAGUGUUAAUGAGGAGAGAGAGGAGGAGUGUUAAUGAGGAGAGAGUAGAGAGGUAGUG
Molecule: long non-coding RNA, 500 nt
Organism: Ictalurus punctatus (channel catfish)
Lineage: Eukaryota; Metazoa; Chordata; Actinopteri; Siluriformes; Ictaluridae
Source: Ensembl